This 784-nucleotide long non-coding RNA is filed under the name Rattus norvegicus (Norway rat). Its description in RNAcentral is "long non-coding RNA NONRATT027973". The record is from RNAcentral. Lineage: Eukaryota; Metazoa; Chordata; Mammalia; Rodentia; Muridae.
GGUGAAACUGUAGAGUGUGGGGAUGAAAAAGACUUGGUUGAGUUUUCAGUGAAGAGGCUUAGUAAUGAACACGAACCUGAACAAAGGAAGAGGAUAAAGAGGAGGAACCAGGCCAUCUACGCUGCAGUGGAUGACGAGGAUGCCAACGAUGAGUAGGACAGAGGACUUGAUGUGGAAGGAUCCAGAAAGGAAGAAGCUGUAAACAAGAGCUUCCCUACUGACAGUCACUCCUAAUGACCUACUGGGAGCUUCGUCUUUAUUGUCACCGAAACUCUGAGCUCCUCGGUGUUAAGAGAUUCUAGUCUCAAACAGGGAGGAGUUCUGUCAGGUGACACUGCAAGGGUCCCAUCGAUUUAUAGACACCUGCAGAACAUGUUGGACGUCUUCUGUGGACAGAAGGGAUCAGAGUGUGGAAAGAUUACAAUAGUGGGAGUUAUCAAUCUCCAUCAGCAGGUGGAAGUGAAGAUGUUUUACGUGACAGCAGCAAGAGGAAAUGCAUAUACUAUCUAGGAGAUGGAAUUUGGUGCCUCCUGGUGUAGACAGGAAGAAACGGAAUCACAGAAUCACUGUUCCCUAGGCCAGGGACGGAAGUGGAUAUGUGGAACUCCAGGGCUGUCAUGUGGUGGUCAUGAGAGUCUCUUCUCACAGACCUCUGACCGGAGAGUGUAACUGAGGGUCUCAUGCAUCUCAGGUUGGCUUCGAACUUGCUGAAUGGCUGAAGCUAAUUCUGAACUCCUGAUUCUACUGCUUCGACCUCCCCGGCGCUGGGAUCAGCCGUGGACUC